GCAUAUCAAUAAGCGGAGGAAAAGAAACCAACAGGGAUUGCCCUAGUAACGGCGAGUGAAGCGGCAACAGCUCAAAUUUGAAAUCUGGCUUUCGGGCCCGAGUUGUAAUUUGUAGAGGAUACUUUUGAUGCGGUGCCUUCCGAGUUCCCUGGAACGGGACGCCAUAGAGGGUGAGAGCCCCGUCUGGUUGGAUGCCAAAUCUCUGUAAAGUUCCUUCGACGAGUCGAGUAGUUUGGGAAUGCUGCUCUAAAUGGGAGGUAUAUGUCUUCUAAAGCUAAAUAUUGGCCAGAGACCGAUAGCGCACAAGUAGAGUGAUCGAAAGAUGAAAAGCACUUUGAAAAGAGAGUUAAAAAGUACGUGAAAUUGUUGAAAGGGAAGCGUUUAUGACCAGACUUGGACUUGGUUAAUCAUCUGGGGUUCUCCCCAGUGCACUUUUCCAGUUCAGGCCAGCAUCAGUUUUCGCCGGGGGAUAAAGGCUUCGGGAAUGUAGCUCUCUUCGGGGAGUGUUAUAGCCCGUUGUGUAAUACCCUGGUGGAGACUGAGGUUCGCGCUUCUGCAAGGAUGCUGGCGUAAUGGUCAUCAACGACCCGUCUUGAAACACGGACCAAGGAGUCGUCUUCGUAUGCGAGUGUUCGGGUGUCAAACCCCUACGCGUAAUGAAAGUGAACGCAGGUGAGAGCUUCGGCGCAUCAUCGACCGAUCCUGAUGUUCUCGGAUGGAUUUGAGUAAGAGCAUACGGGGCCGGACCCGAAAGAAGGUGAACUAUGCCUGUAUAGGGUGAAGCCAGAGGAAACUCUGGUGGAGGCUCGCAGCGGUUCUGACGUGCAAAUCGAUCGUCAAAUAUGGGCAUGGGGGCGAAAGACUAAUCGAACCUUCUAGUAGCUGGUUUCCGCCGAA
This 897-nucleotide ribosomal RNA is filed under the name Fusarium avenaceum. RNAcentral describes it as "LSU rRNA". It matches the Rfam family "Eukaryotic large subunit ribosomal RNA", at positions 38 to 965 of the family's 3401-position model. Lineage: Eukaryota; Fungi; Ascomycota; Sordariomycetes; Hypocreales; Nectriaceae. The record is from RNAcentral.